RNAcentral lists this ribosomal RNA (238 nucleotides) under uncultured bacterium. RNAcentral describes it as "partial 16S ribosomal RNA". It matches the Rfam family "Bacterial small subunit ribosomal RNA", at positions 15 to 236 of the family's 1533-position model. The record is from RNAcentral.
GAUCCUGGCUCAGGAUGAACGCUGGCGGCGUGCCUAACACAUGCAAGUCGAACGGAGCUGCUUUGAUGAAGUUUUCGGAUGGAUUUAAAACAGCUUAGUGGCGGACAAGUGAGUAACGCGUGGGUAACCUGCCUCACACUGGGGGAUAACAGUUAGAAAUAGCUGCUAAUACCGCAUAAGCGCACAGUUCCGCAUGGAACAGUGUGAAAAACUCCGGUGGUGUGAGAUGGACCCGCGU